This 440-nucleotide ribosomal RNA is filed under the name uncultured bacterium. Its description in RNAcentral is "partial 16S ribosomal RNA". It matches the Rfam family "Bacterial small subunit ribosomal RNA", at positions 338 to 795 of the family's 1533-position model. The record is from RNAcentral.
CCUUCGGGAGGCAGCAGUGAGGAAUAUUGGUCAAUGGGCGGAAGCCUGAAGCAGCAACGCCGCGUGGAGGAUGAAGGUUUUCGGAUUGUAAACUCCUUUUGUUAGAGAAGAUAAUGACGGUAUCUAACGAAUAAGCACCGGCUAACUCCGUGCCAGCAGCCGCGGUAAUACGGCGGGUGCAAGCGUUACUCGGAAUCACUGGGCGUAAAGAGCGCGUAGGCGGGAUAGCAAGUCAGAUGUGAAAUCCUAUGGCUUAACCAUAGAACUGCAUUUGAAACUGUUAUUCUAGAGUAUGGGAGAGGUAGGUGGAAUGCUUGGUGUAGGGGUAAAAUCCAUAGAGAUCAAGAGGAAUACUCAUUGCGAAGGCGACCUGCUAGAACAUAACUGACGCUGAUGCGCGAAAGUGUGGGGAGCAAACAGGAUUAGAUACCCGGGUGGUC